GAUGAACGCUGGCGGUGUGCCUAAUACAUGCAAGUCGAACGAAGUCUUCGGACUUAGUGGCGAACGGGUGAGUAACACGUUGGUACCUACCCUCUAGUGGGGAAGUAACUGCCCGAAAGGGUGGCUAAUACCGCAUAAUACCGCAAGGUUAAAGCAGUAAUGCGCUAGAGGAGGGGCCUGCGUCUGAUUAGCUAGUUGGUGAGGUAAUAGCUCACCAAGGCUACGAUCAGUAGCNGGAUCGAGAGGUUGACCAGCCACACUGGGACUGAGAUACGGCCCAGACUCCUACGGGAGGCAGCAGUAAGGAAUCUUCCACAAUGGACGAAAGUACUGAUGGAGCAACACCGCGUGCAGGAUGACGGUCUUC
RNAcentral lists this ribosomal RNA (367 nucleotides) under uncultured bacterium. Its description in RNAcentral is "bacterial SSU rRNA". It matches the Rfam family "Bacterial small subunit ribosomal RNA", at positions 28 to 419 of the family's 1533-position model. The record is from RNAcentral.